UCAGAACGAACGCUGGCGGCAGGCCUAACACAUGCAAGUCGAGCGCACCUUCGGGUGAGCGGCGGACGGGUUAGUAACGCGUGGGAACCUACCCAAUACUAAGGAAUAGCCUUUGGAAACGAAGAGUAAUACCUUAUACGCCCUUCGGGGGAAAGAUUUAUCGGUAUUGGAUGGGCCCGCGUUUGAUUAGAUAGUUGGUGGGGUAACGGCCCACCAAGUCUACGAUCAAUAGCUGGUUUGAGAGGAUGAUCAGCAAC
RNAcentral lists this ribosomal RNA (257 nucleotides) under uncultured bacterium. RNAcentral describes it as "partial 16S ribosomal RNA". It matches the Rfam family "Bacterial small subunit ribosomal RNA", at positions 24 to 311 of the family's 1533-position model. The record is from RNAcentral.